This 814-nucleotide ribosomal RNA is filed under the name Harringtonia lauricola. RNAcentral describes it as "Raffaelea lauricola partial large subunit ribosomal RNA". It matches the Rfam family "Eukaryotic large subunit ribosomal RNA", at positions 82 to 919 of the family's 3401-position model. Lineage: Eukaryota; Fungi; Ascomycota; Sordariomycetes; Ophiostomatales; Ophiostomataceae. The record is from RNAcentral.
AGUAACGGCGAGUGAAGCGGCAACAGCUCAAAUUUGAAAUCUGGCCCCCCGCGGGCCCGAGUUGUACUUUGGAGAGGACGCUUCUGGCGCGGCGCCGUCCGAGUUCCCUGGAACGGGACGCCGGAGAGGGUGAGAGCCCCGUACGGGCGGCCGCCUAGCCUCUGCGAAGCUCCUUCGACGAGUCGAGUAGUUUGGGAAUGCUGCUCAAAAUGGGAGGUAAAUUUCUUCUAAAGCUAAAUACCGGCCAGAGACCGAUAGCGCACAAGUAGAGUGAUCGAAAGAUGAAAAGCACUUUGAAAAGAGGGUCAAACAGUACGUGAAAUUGUUGAAAGGGAAGCGCCUGUGGCCAGACUUGCGCCCCGCGGACCACCCGGCGCCUCGCGCGCCGGGGCACGCCAGCGGGGCGCAGGCCAGCAUCGGCUCUCUCGGGGGGACAAAGGCCGCGGGAACGUAGCGCCCUCGCGGCGUAUUAUAGCCCGCGGCGCCAUGCCCCCGGGGGGGCCGAGGACCGCGCUCCGGCAAGGAUGCUGGCGUAAUGGCCACCGGCGACCCGUCUUGAAACACGGACCAAGGAGUCAAGCAUUGGGGCGAGUGUCUGGGUGGCAAGCCCGCACGCGGAAUGAAAGUGAACGCAGGUGGGAGCUUCGGCGCACCACCGACCGAUCCUGAUGUCCUCGGAUGGAUUUGAGUAGGAGCCCCGCCGCUUGGACCCGAAAGAUGGUGAACUAUGCCUGUAUAGGGUGAAGCCAGAGGAAACUCUGGUGGAGGCCCGCAGCGGUUCUGACGUGCAAAUCGAUCGUCAAAUAUGGGCAUG